UCGACGUGGUUCGGCACAGUGGGACGGGUGAGUAACACGUGGGAACCUGCCUUUCGGUUCGGGAUAACGUCUGGAAACGGACGCUAACACCGGAUACGCCCUUCCUGGAGACAGGUUGGGGAAAGUUCACGCCGAGAGAGGGGCCCGCGUCCGAUUAGGUAGUUGGUGAGGUAACGGCUCACCAAGCCGACGAUCGGUAGCUGGUCUGAGAGGAUGAUCAGCCACACUGGGACUGAGACACGGCCCAGACUCCUACGGGAGGCAGCAGUKGGGAAUAUUGGACAAUGGGCGCAAGCUGAUCCAGCAAUGCCGCGUGAGUBAUGAAGGCCUUAGGGUUGUAAAGCUCUUUCGCACGCBACGAUGAUGACGGUAGCSUGAGAAGAAGCCCCGGCUAACUUCGUGCCAMCAGCCGCGGUAAUACGAAGGGGGCUAGCGUUGUUCGGAAUUACUGGGCGUAAAGGGCGCGUAGGCGGNCUGUUUAGUCAGAAGUGAAAGCCCCGGGCUCAACCUGGGAACCGCUUUUGAUACUGGCAGGCUUGAGUUCCGGAGAGGAUGGUGGAAUUCCCAGUGUAGAGGUGAAAUUCGUAGAUAUUGGGAAGAACACCGGUGGCGAAGGCGGCCAUCUGGACGGACACUGACGCUGAGGCGCGAAASSUCGGGGAGCAAACAGGCUUAGAUACCCYCGUAGUCCACSCCGUAAACCAUGAAUYUAAACSCGGGGUCGA
RNAcentral lists this ribosomal RNA (725 nucleotides) under Azospirillum sp. S4-09. RNAcentral's name for it is "bacterial SSU rRNA". It matches the Rfam family "Bacterial small subunit ribosomal RNA", at positions 79 to 830 of the family's 1533-position model. Lineage: Bacteria; Pseudomonadati; Pseudomonadota; Alphaproteobacteria; Rhodospirillales; Azospirillaceae. The record is from RNAcentral.